RNAcentral lists this long non-coding RNA (310 nucleotides) under Sorghum bicolor (sorghum). RNAcentral describes it as "long non-coding RNA (SBIC_LNC001588)". Lineage: Eukaryota; Viridiplantae; Streptophyta; Magnoliopsida; Poales; Poaceae. The record is from RNAcentral.
CACUUUAUUUUAGGAUGAAGGGAGGGAAUAGAUGGUGACGGUGAGAUGGAGCUGCCCACCGUCGUGCAGGUAUCUUGUUUUAAUGGCAGGUCAUAUGGAUUCCCGUAGUUUAUAUAAAGAAAAAUAAUAUACAAGUAAUAAUGCAGGGUGGGUCUACAACUCAAACUAAUUAAUUAAUACAACCCCCAAAUGUGGGACAAAUUAAAAUCUGAUAAAAAAUUAAAUGUCAUUCUGCAUAAAUUUGUAGAGCUUACAAACUUUGGUACACAUGGACGACGAACGGAAAAGGAAAAAACAAAACUGGCCGCCC